Molecule: non-coding RNA, 72 nt
Organism: Paramuricea clavata
Lineage: Eukaryota; Metazoa; Cnidaria; Anthozoa; Malacalcyonacea; Plexauridae
Source: the annotation of a GenBank genome assembly
GACCUCGUAGCUCAGUUGGCAGAGCAUUGGAGUAGUAUCCCAAAGUCACGGGUUUGACUCCCACCGUGGUCA